This 579-nucleotide long non-coding RNA is filed under the name Junco hyemalis (dark-eyed junco). RNAcentral's name for it is "lncRNA (ENSJHYG00000012476.1)". The record is from RNAcentral. Lineage: Eukaryota; Metazoa; Chordata; Aves; Passeriformes; Passerellidae.
AUGUCAUUUACUUUUCUAACCUGCCUUUGAACAUACUAAGCACUGUGAUACAACUAACUCACACACACACACCACAGAUAAGAGGUAAUUCCUGCUAAAAGAAACACCUGACAGAAACUCACUGCCUGAGACAGACCUUGCUGGAUUCUAUUUUAUAAAAAAUUUGCUCCCAUCAUUUUUUCCUCCUAGGUUCCAUCAUCCUCUGAAGAACGCUGGGUUUCGCAGGCAGGCGGCUAGUCACCUGCAACAACCGAGGGGUCCCGCAGAAGCUUCCAGGCUGCUGUCCGUGUCAGACGCCAGGGUUUGAUCCGUGGACAUGGAUGAGAUGUCGUUGACAGAUGAGGAUGGAGGGAGGCUCUCACUGCUGUUCACUGCUGCACCUGUGCUACGAAAACGAACACCAACGUGAUUAAACCCGAAACCCCAGAAGGUGCCACGUGUUAAACCCACCUGGUGGUACGCAGGCCAUUUUAUCCAGUGGCAAACCUCAGCACGAAAUGGAUCAUGCAAACUUUAGACACUAGAUAAUAUUAAAUAUCUUACCAGGAAAUUCUGUCUCUCAGUCUGCUUUGAAAAGCU